GACGAACGCUGGCGGCAUGCUUAACACAUGCAAGUCGAACGAGACGGCCGGGCCUAUGUGGGGUGGUCUACUUGCGAACGGGGAAGUAACACGUGAGUAACCUACACCUGACUGUGGGAGAUCUUAAGGAAACUUGAUGUAAUAGCGGCUAGGAGCUCCUGCUGCAUGGUGGGGGUUGGUAGGUUUAGGCGGUUGGUGAUGGACUCGCCGACUAUCAGCUUGAUGGGUGGGUAGUGUAUUACCAAGGCUUGGACGCGUAGCAGGCCUGAGAGGGUGAGCGGCCACACUGGGACGGAACUACGGCCCAGACUCCUACGGGAGGCAGGGGUGGGGUAUAGUGUACAAUGGGCGGAAGCCUGACGCAGUAACGCAGCGUGCGGGAUGACGUCAUUCGGGUUGUAUACCACUUUCGCCUGUGACGAAGCGUUAGUGACGGUAACGGGUAAAGAAGCACCGGCUAACUACGUG
This 468-nucleotide ribosomal RNA is filed under the name uncultured bacterium. RNAcentral's name for it is "partial 16S ribosomal RNA". It matches the Rfam family "Bacterial small subunit ribosomal RNA", at positions 28 to 507 of the family's 1533-position model. The record is from RNAcentral.